This 525-nucleotide ribosomal RNA is filed under the name Triticum aestivum (bread wheat). RNAcentral describes it as "partial small subunit ribosomal RNA". Lineage: Eukaryota; Viridiplantae; Streptophyta; Magnoliopsida; Poales; Poaceae. The record is from RNAcentral.
UUCUCUCAAAUCUGGAAGGCACGGAUCCCUCCUAAAGUUAAGAUUUUCUUAUGGCAAGCUUUUAGGGGUCGGUUGCCUUCGGCUGACCAAAUUCGUAAGAGAAAUUGUCCGGGCUCUCAGUUUUGUGCUCUAUGUGGCGACUUGGAGGAUACGACUCAUAUCUUCUUCCACUGUGUCUUUGCUAAGCUCAUCUGGAGCUGCAUUAAAGAAUGGCUUCAUGUUUCCUGGGACCCUGCGUCGUUCCUUGAGCUUCGGGCUCUGGCUAGUAAUUUAUCAGGAGUCACCAGACUUAUCUUUUGGGAGGGCCUAGGAGCUUUGUGUUGGUCCCUCGGGACGACUAGGAACAAAUUUACUAUUGAGCAUGUGUUUCCGGCUAAACCUGCUGAUUGCUUAUUUAAAUCAUGUGCUCUCUUGCAGCAGUGGAAAUCAUUGACUAAGGUGGACGACCAGGAUGCGCUUUCUGUGCUGAUCUCCAAAGUUUGGGCCUCGGCGUCUAAUCUAUGCAGACAAGAGCAGGAUGCUUAG